This is an RNA transcript of Populus nigra (black poplar), 2693 nucleotides long. RefSeq lists it as uncharacterized. Lineage: Eukaryota; Viridiplantae; Streptophyta; Magnoliopsida; Malpighiales; Salicaceae. The transcript has 13 exons. The record is from RefSeq and is a predicted model, not a curated record.
CAGUACAGAUUAUUGUAAAAACAUAAAAAACGAGUCGUCGUUUACACCUCUCUUUCUCGUGAUCAAAGUUAAAAUUUCACAAUCCUCCAGCCCCUUCUUGAAUACCAAAAAAAGAAAUGGCUUCUUCUCCUCCAAGCGAAGAAUCACAAAACCAGAAUCAAGAUCGACAACAAGUAGCAGCAGUGAAAGAGCAAGAGAAGGAGUGCCUUCACAAAACCAAAACGAUAGAGUUCUUAGGCCGUACCACUCCUAUCGUUCUCCAAAAUGACAAUGGACCUUGUCCUCUGCUAGCCAUCUGUAAUGUUCUUCUGCUAAAGAACAAUCUAAAUUUGAGCCCAGAUAGCGCUGAAGUUUCACAGGAGAAAUUGCUAUCCCUUGUUGCAGAACGAUUGAUUGAUUCCAACAGUAAUAUUGUUUUUCUCAUCAUGCAGAACAAAGAUGCAGGAUAUGUCGAAAAUCAACAGCAGAAUAUUGCAGAUGCUAUUGAUUUGCUUCCACGACUUGCAACUGGAAUUGAUGUAAAUCUAAAGUUUAGGAGGAUAGAUGAUUUUGAGUUUACCCGAGAAUGUGCCAUAUUUGAUUUGCUUGACAUUCCUUUAUACCAUGGUUGGAUAGUUGAUCCCUUGGACUAUGAUACUGCUAAUGCCAUCGGGUCAAAGUCCUAUAAUACUCUUAUGGGGGAGCUUGUUGCUCUGGAAACAAGAAACAUGGAAGAUGAAAGUAAAAAUGUUACCAGGGAAGAUUUUAAAAGUAAGACCGAGGAAGACUGCGUUGACUUUGUUGCUGCUACAACUGCAACUUUGGGCGUUCCUUCUCCCUGUCUUUCAAAAGCUAGGUCUUUUGAUGAUUCUCCACGUUCAGCCUCUGAUCAUCAAAAUGUAAGAAAAGGGGAUUUAGAAGAAGCAGCAGCACUAUUGAGGGUCUUAAAAUUUUCGGAGGCUGAGUUGCCAUGUUCAGCAGGCGAUUCUCUUGUAUCUGAUGUUAAUGGAAGGGUUUUGUUUGUUGGUUCAGAUGAAAGUACAUCUAUGAAGGGGGCUGCGACUGUGACUUCCUUGGAUACAUCAGAGGGACCUGUUGGUAUUGAUGGCAGUUUUAAUGCAUUGAGCAAUGAUGAUAAUAAUAAUCUGACAUCCUUGGAAACUACUCUUCCAGGGGAAGUGAUGUGCUCUUCCUUAAAGACUGAUCUGAAUGUUCAUUUUGAUCAUUCAACCUGUACAGAAUCUGGAGAACAUAUCUCUUGUGAUGAUACCAUUAAGAAUCGUAGUGUUGACACAGGUGUUGAGAUUCAAGACGCAGUGUCCCUUUCUUGUGGAAAGAGUACUGCAUCUUUGAAUGGAGACCGUGUGGAUAUUUUACAUUACAGUCAGAAGGUUGAGAAUCAGUGCACUUCUAUUACCGAGGUUCAUGAACCAGCAGAUAUUUCAAAUGGGCGUGACAAGGAGGAUGUACCAGGGUCAGCUUCACCAGUUCUAGAGUCAAAUUCAUCUAUUGGCAGAAUGCAGAACAUAGACGCACCUGAUACCUUUACUUCAAGUGUUGAUGGCAGUGAGCCAAUAUACGAGGGAGAAGAAUGCAUUUUGGAUACAGGAACUUCAAAUUAUGAAGAGCGAGAGCCUAUGUAUGAAGGUGAAGUGGUUCUUGCAGAACAAGCUGAUAGAACUGUGAGGUCUAAGGAUGAAAUCACUCCACAGCAAGGGGAGCUGAUAGGGAACUUUUUGAAGAACAAUGCUAGUCAGUUGACCUUUUAUGGUCUCUUUUGCUUACAGGAUGGGCUUAAAGAGCGAGAGUUGUGUGUUUUUUUCCGUAACAAUCACUUUAGCACCAUGUUUAAGUAUGAUGGUGAGCUGUAUCUUUUAGCUACAGACCAAGGUUACAUUAAUCAGCCUGAUUUGGUGUGGGAGAAACUAAAUGAGGUAAAUGGAGAUACAUUGUUUAUGACAGGCAACUUCAAGGAAUUCAGGGUGGAAAGUCAUUCAAAUGACCCAUGGGAUGAGCACAAUGCCGUGACCAGUACUGCUGAUUAUCUUGCCAGCAUCGAUAGUGCUGCACAAGCGGGUUUGGAUAUAAACUCUGAUCUGCAACUGGCAAUAGCUCUGCAGCAACAGGAGUUUGAGCAGCAGCAGCAGCAGCAGCCGCCGCCGCCGCCGCCACAACGCCAUAACAUGCAGCAACCCUCCAGUACUGGUGGUUCGAGGCUAAUCACAGGCCCCCAGGUGCCAAGGAGCAGUGGGAAAACCACAUCUUCUUCAUCUUCCAGGUUUGAUGCAAAGUCAAAAGACAAGUGUAGUCUGAUGUGAAUUUUGCUGGAGGUGUUGUGGAAGUUUGUUCAUUAAAUGGCUUGUAUUUCGACCCCAUGUUAUCCUUCGUAACAAUAAACUGCAUUAGUAAGUUGACAGAUUGAAAGGGGUCCCUUGUUUCAACAUCUGGAAAAAUGAGCAACAAUGGUUCUAGUUUAUUCAAGUGAAAUGUCUUUGGAGGUGGCACUGGUAGGUCCAUAUGGAGGACCCAUUUACAUUUAGAGCUAUGUGGUCUCGCCCAUGCAACUUCACCUGGCUGAAUUAUAUCUCGUCAAAGCUAAAUGCACGCUUGAAAAGUUAUAGGCAUGCUAUUUUCGAACUACUGGCUGAUGUUGAUGUGGCGUAACAAAUUGACAACAGCAUUUAGGAAUAAAUUUUGGAUUUAUGUUAGGGUUA